UUACGGCCACAUCAAGUUGAAACACCAGUUCUAGUACGAUCGCCGAAGUUAAGCAAUGUGGAGCCUUGUCAGUACCCAGAUGGGUGACCACUUGUGAAUACCAGUUGCUGUAAG
Acanthosepion pharaonis is the source of this 114-nucleotide non-coding RNA. The record is from the annotation of a GenBank genome assembly. NCBI's taxonomy places the organism in Eukaryota, Metazoa, Mollusca, Cephalopoda, Sepiida, Sepiidae.